This 705-nucleotide ribosomal RNA is filed under the name Tatumella sp. JGM118. Its description in RNAcentral is "partial 23S ribosomal RNA". It matches the Rfam family "Bacterial large subunit ribosomal RNA", at positions 589 to 1293 of the family's 2925-position model. Lineage: Bacteria; Pseudomonadati; Pseudomonadota; Gammaproteobacteria; Enterobacterales; Erwiniaceae. The record is from RNAcentral.
GGGUGUGACUGCGUACCUUUUGUAUAAUGGGUCAGCGACUUAUAUUCUGUAGCAAGGUUAACCGUAUAGGGGAGCCGCAGGGAAACCGAGUCUUAACUGGGCGUUAAGUUGCAGGGUAUAGACCCGAAACCCGGUGAUCUAGCCAUGGGCAGGUUGAAGGUUGGGUAACACUAACUGGAGGACCGAACCGACUAAUGUUGAAAAAUUAGCGGAUGACCUGUGGCUGGGGGUGAAAGGCCAAUCAAACCGGGAGAUAGCUGGUUCUCCCCGAAAGCUAUUUAGGUAGCGCCUCGUGAAUUCAUCUCCGGGGGUAGAGCACUGUUUCGGCUAGGGGGCCAUCCCGGCUUACCAACCCGAUGCAAACUGCGAAUACCGGAGAAUGUUAUCACGGGAGACACACGGCGGGUGCUAACGUCCGUCGUGAAGAGGGAAACAACCCAGACCGCCAGCUAAGGUCCCAAAGUCAUAGUUAAGUGGGAAACGAUGUGGGAAGGCUCAGACAGCCAGGAUGUUGGCUUAGAAGCAGCCAUCAUUUAAAGAAAGCGUAAUAGCUCACUGGUCGAGUCGGCCUGCGCGGAAGAUGUAACGGGGCUAAACUAUGCACCGAAGCUGCGGCAGCGACACUUAUGUGUUGUUGGGUAGGGGAGCGUUCUGUAAGCCGUUGAAGGUGGUCUGUGAGGGCUGCUGGAGGUAUCAGAAGUGCGA